Non-coding RNA from Paramuricea clavata, 693 nucleotides. Lineage: Eukaryota; Metazoa; Cnidaria; Anthozoa; Malacalcyonacea; Plexauridae. The record is from the annotation of a GenBank genome assembly.
UUUAUCGCUUCCCUGCAUAUAUUAAACCACCAUCGGCAAACUGUUUGUCAGGCUGAGCUCGGUUUUCUGUGCUGCCGAAUACUACAAAACCAGUCAAAGCCUUUAUGGCAUAAUUAUGGCUUAUGUGCCCGGUUGUUGGCACAUAGCCGGUUUAUUAUUUUAAUCGAUUUUUAAUAAUUAACAAGAAAAAUUAUUAAUUAAUAACUAUAUAACAUUUAGCACAGAAAAGGUGGGGGCAUUACUAACGCCACAAGUCUCCUUGGGAUAAAGGAGACACACCCCACCCCAACCUGGCAAACCGUUUGCAGAUGAUCAUGAAAAAUAUCUACGUAUAUAUUGAUACCACAUGUUACGAAAACCUCAAUCUAUGUCAGUUUGACUGCAUAUGCUAUUGUCAGUCAAAAGCAAUGAACUUACACUGGUCUAGAUAAUAACAGUGCUAUUAAUUACCUAGUUUACUAUACAAGCCUCCACUGGAAUAAACUGAUGAUCAGCUGAAAUGUGAACCUUACCCAUGUGUCAGUUCAAUAUCCAACCGAUGACCAAUAAGUGUCUCCAGAGGCGAUAAAAUACCGUAUUAUACGAGUUUCUAGCGAAAUAAAUAUCAUCAGCUGAAAUGUGAACCUUACCCUUGUGUCGGUUCAACAUCCAGCGAUGAUGAAUAAGUAAGAUAAAAUACCUAGGCAAUCACCA